Molecule: transfer RNA, 77 nt
Filed under: Oscillospiraceae bacterium
Lineage: Bacteria; Bacillati; Bacillota; Clostridia; Eubacteriales; Oscillospiraceae
Description: tRNA-Arg
Rfam family: tRNA
About the family: Transfer RNA (tRNA) molecules are approximately 80 nucleotides in length.
Source: RNAcentral
GCGCCUUUAGCUCAGCUGGAUAGAGCGUCUGGCUACGGACCAGAAGGUCAGGAGUUCGAAUCUCUUAAGGCGUGCCA